This 253-nucleotide ribosomal RNA is filed under the name uncultured bacterium. RNAcentral describes it as "partial 16S ribosomal RNA". It matches the Rfam family "Bacterial small subunit ribosomal RNA", at positions 524 to 776 of the family's 1533-position model. The record is from RNAcentral.
UACGAAGGGGGCUAGCGUUGUUCGGAAUUACUGGGCGUAAAGCGCACGUAGGCGGAAUGUUAAGUCAGGGGUGAAAUCCCGGGGCUCAACCCCGGAACUGCCUUUGAUACUGGCAUUCUCGAGUCCGGAAGAGGUGAGUGGAAUUCCGAGUGUAGAGGUGAAAUGCGCAGAUAUCAGGAAGAACACCCGUGGCUAAGGCGGCUCUCUAGUACGUGACUGACGCUGAGACGCGAAAGCGUGGGGAGCGAACAGG